AGUGAACGCUGGCGGUAGGCCUAACACAUGCAAGUCGAACGGCAGCACAGUAAGAGCUUGCUCUUACGGGUGGCGAGUGGCGGACGGGUGAGGAAUACAUCGGAAUCUACUUUUUCGUGGGGGAUAACGUAGGGAAACUUACGCUAAUACCGCAUACGACCUACGGGUGAAAGCAGGGGAUCUUCGGACCUUGCGCGAUUGAAUGAGCCGAUGUCGGAUUAGCUAGUUGGCGGGGUAAAGGCCCACCAAGGCGACGAUCCGUAGCUGGUCUGAGAGGAUGAUCGGCCACACUGGAGCUGGGACACGGACCAGAGUCCUACGAGAGGCAGCAGUGGGGAAUGUUGGACAAUGGGCGCAAGCCUGAUCCAGCCAUACCGCGUGGGUGAAGAAGGCCUUCGGGUUGUAAAGCCCUUUUGUUGGGAAAGAAAAGCAGUAGGUUAAUACCCCGCUGUUCUGACGGUACCCAAAGAAUAAGCACCGGCUAACUUCGUG
This 492-nucleotide ribosomal RNA is filed under the name uncultured bacterium. Its description in RNAcentral is "partial 16S ribosomal RNA". It matches the Rfam family "Bacterial small subunit ribosomal RNA", at positions 29 to 507 of the family's 1533-position model. The record is from RNAcentral.